Molecule: ribosomal RNA, 332 nt
Filed under: uncultured eukaryote
Lineage: Eukaryota
Description: partial 18S ribosomal RNA
Rfam family: Eukaryotic small subunit ribosomal RNA
Source: RNAcentral
CCCUUAGAUGUUCUGGGCUGCACACGUGCUACACUGGCAGGUUCAGCGAGCUUCAUGCCCUGAUCUGAAAGGAAUGGGAAAUCUUUUCAAAACCUGCCGUGCUUGGGAUAGAUGUUUGCAAUUAUUCAUCUUCAACGAGGAUUGCCUUGUAAGCGCACGUCAUCAGCGUGCAUUGAAUACGACCCUGUAUUCUGUACACACCGCCCGUCGCUCCUACCGAUUGAAGUUUUCGGUGAGUUGACAGGAGGAUUUUUUUGAAACUGGUUCGCCAGUGGAUUUUAGAUACAAAUGCCAACGAAUCGAGGGCUUUAGAGGAAGGAGAAGUCGUAACA